RNAcentral lists this ribosomal RNA (398 nucleotides) under uncultured bacterium. RNAcentral's name for it is "partial 16S ribosomal RNA". It matches the Rfam family "Bacterial small subunit ribosomal RNA", at positions 523 to 918 of the family's 1533-position model. The record is from RNAcentral.
AUACGUAGGGUGCGAGCGUUGUCCGGAGUUACUGGGCGUAAAGAGCUCGUAGGUGGUUUGUCGCGUCGUCUGUGAAAUUCCGGGGCUUAACUCCGGGCGUGCAGGCGAUACGGGCAUAACUUGAGUACUGUAGGGGAGACUGGAAUUCCUGGUGUAGCGGUGAAAUGCGCAGAUAUCAGGAGGAACACCGUUGGCGAAGGCGGGUCUCUGGGCAGUAACUGACGCUGAGGAGCAAAAGCAUGGGUAGCGAACAGGAUUAGAUACCUUGGUAGUCCAGGCCGUAAACGGUGGGCGCUAGGUGUAGGGGUCUUCCACGACUUCUGUGCCGUAGCUAACGCAUUAAGCGCCCCGCCUGGGGAGUACGGCCGCAAGGCUAAAACUCAAAGGAAUUGACGGGG